UCUGUGGAGCAGCUAUGGGGCCAAUGGAGGGAGGCAAUGAAGCUGUGCCCAGGCUGGUGACCAGUGUCCCUGCUCUGAGACCUCACUCUGUCGCUGCUUAAAGUUCAUACCAGCUGCCUGCUAAGUCCCCUGGGGGGAAAGCUGGGUAUAAAUCAUGACCAGGAAAAAAGGAUUGGACAUCAGGUUGCUCGUGGCUUCUAAGAAAGCCCAGCAGGGCCACAGACUUGGAUCCUUCUGCCAGCAUCAGAGGAGCAACGAGUUCGGUUCCCAGCGCUCACAUCAGGUGGCUCACAGCUUUCUGCAACUCCAGCUCCAGGAGAUCUGAUGCCCUCUAACCUCUGCUGGCUCCUGCAAGCAAGUGGUGCACAUAAACCUGUGAAGGCACACAUGCGCGCACGCACACACACACGUGCACAUCUUUGAAAAAAAAAAAUCCUUGCUAUGAGGUCUUACAUUGUGUAAGAGCUCGAGCAGGGACUGCUGGACACCAAGGAAGGAACAUUCUAGCCCUAGAUGACUCUCGGCUGAAAGUUGCCUCCAAGGGCAUUAGCCUGUUUGGUGCAUAGGCUACCUCUCUAUGCUUAGCAUAGAAUAUAUAGGUGGGGAAUGAAUAAUGGCUGAAUGAGUGAAUCUGGGCAGGGGUGAUGGUAGAUUCCAU
Molecule: long non-coding RNA, 658 nt
Organism: Phodopus roborovskii (desert hamster)
Lineage: Eukaryota; Metazoa; Chordata; Mammalia; Rodentia; Cricetidae
Exons: 3
Source: RefSeq, a predicted model, not a curated record